GACGAACGCUGGCGGCGUGCUUAACACAUGCAAGUCGAACGGAAAGGCCCUGCUUUUGUGGGGUGCUCGAGUGGCGAACGGGUGAGUAACACGUGAGUAACCUGCCCUUGACUUUGGGAUAACUUCAGGAAACUGGGGCUAAUACCGGAUAGGAGCUCCUGCUGCGUGGUGGGGGUUGGAAAGUUUCGGCGGUUGGGGCUGGACUCGCGGCUUAUCAGCUUGUUGGUGGGGUAGUGGCUUACCAAGGCUUUGACGGGUAGCCGGCCUGGGAGGGUGACCGGCCACAUUGGGACUGAGAUACGGCCCAGACGCCUACGGGAGGCAGCAGUGGGGAAUAUUGCACAAUGGGCGGAAGCCUGAUGCAGCAACGCCGCGUGCGGGAUGACGGCCUUCGGGUUGUAAACCGCUUUCGCCUGUGACGAAGCGUGAGUGACGGUAAUGGGUAAAGAAGCACCGGCUAACUACGU
Molecule: ribosomal RNA, 467 nt
Filed under: uncultured bacterium
Lineage: Bacteria
Description: partial 16S ribosomal RNA
Rfam family: Bacterial small subunit ribosomal RNA
Source: RNAcentral